This 510-nucleotide ribosomal RNA is filed under the name uncultured bacterium. RNAcentral describes it as "bacterial SSU rRNA". It matches the Rfam family "Bacterial small subunit ribosomal RNA", at positions 28 to 526 of the family's 1533-position model. The record is from RNAcentral.
GAUGAACGCUGGCGGCGUGCUUAACACAUGCAAGUCGAACGGAAAUGUUAUGUAGGAAGCCAAGAGUUUACUCGAGGUGAAAUUUUUAACAUUUUAGUGGCGGACGGGUGAGUAACGCGUGGAUAACCUACCUUAUACUGGGGGAUAACACUUAGAAAUAGGUGCUAAUACCGCAUAAGCGCACAGAACCGCAUGGUUCAGUGUGAAAAACUCCGGUGGUAUAAGAUGGAUCCGCGUCUGAUUAGUUAGUUGGUGAGGUAAUGGCUCACCAAGACAGCGAUCAGUAGCCGGCCUGAGAGGGUGAACGGCCACAUUGGGACUGAGACACGGCCCAAACUCCUACGGGAGGCAGCAGUGGGGAAUAUUGCACAAUGGGGGAAACCCCUGAUGCAGCGACGCCGCGUGAGUGAAGAAGUGUUUCGGCACGUAAAGCUCUAUCAGCAAGGAAGAAAAUGACGGUACUUGACUAAGAAGCCCCGGCUAACUACGUGCCAGCAGCCGCGGUAAUAC